Long non-coding RNA from Myotis davidii, 429 nucleotides. RefSeq lists it as uncharacterized. The record is from RefSeq and is a predicted model, not a curated record. Lineage: Eukaryota; Metazoa; Chordata; Mammalia; Chiroptera; Vespertilionidae. The transcript has 2 exons.
CCCCGGCUGCCUUGCAGGGCUGCCCUCGGAGAUGAGGGAGCCGCUCCGGCCAGGCAGGGAGACUUCUCCCUCGGCUCACUCAGAGGAUAAAGUUCAAGUUCUCCAACCUGACCCACACAGGCUCCUUCCUCCCACCAGUCUCUUUCUCCCCAUGGAGGCUGGUUGACCUGCCUGGUCCUAGAUGCUCCAAUCACAUGCUGUUCUCUCACCUCUGGGCCUCAGAGUCCCUUUUUGGACAGCUCCUCCAGGAAGCCUUCCCUGACUAUUCUCCACAAUACUUUCCAUUAUCUUUGUUCAUUGAUUUUGUUAUGUAUCUUUAAUAUCUUUGAAAUAUAUAUAAAUCACUGAGAAAAAGGUGAAUACCUCAAAUGAAAUUGGGGAAGGAAAAUAAUCAGAUAAUCUAUAGGAAAAAUACAAAUAAAUAUUUGA